UGAGCGCUCUUUUGGGACGCAUCAUUCUGAGAUCAUAGUCCAGAGGAUAUAGAGCACAAGUUGGCUUGAGUAACACUUUCAAACAGAAACCUUCAAGGGGAUAAAAAGUUUAGGGCUGGCUGUCCGACCAGAAGGAACAUUUUUUCUUGUGAGGAAAAGYAAUUCAAGCCAUGGAUUUCAAAGUGAUUCUGAUACUUUCACUGUUUGCUGUUGGGAUGGCCGACAUCAACUUGCACAACCCAAGGGGCGGCAACAAUCGUUUGAAUGAGCCAAACAGAGAUCGACGCAAUGCUCGAAGGUUGUUCGAUUCUCAAAACAAUAACCGAGGAGGACACAAUGUCGGAGGGCUGUACUACUACGGGGGGACUACAUUACAGAUACAGUGGU
Exaiptasia diaphana is the source of this 387-nucleotide long non-coding RNA. RefSeq lists it as uncharacterized. The transcript has 4 exons. The record is from RefSeq and is a predicted model, not a curated record. Lineage: Eukaryota; Metazoa; Cnidaria; Anthozoa; Actiniaria; Aiptasiidae.